GCGCCCGUAGCUCAGUGGAAGGAGCAGCCGCCUUCUAAGCGGUUGGUCGGCGGUUCGAAUCCGCCCGGGCGCACCA
Molecule: transfer RNA, 76 nt
Filed under: Ktedonobacterales bacterium
Lineage: Bacteria; Bacillati; Chloroflexota; Ktedonobacteria; Ktedonobacterales
Description: tRNA-Arg
Rfam family: tRNA
About the family: Transfer RNA (tRNA) molecules are approximately 80 nucleotides in length. Their secondary structure includes four short double-helical elements and three loops (D, anti-codon, and T loops).
Source: RNAcentral